Molecule: ribosomal RNA, 227 nt
Filed under: uncultured bacterium
Lineage: Bacteria
Description: partial 16S ribosomal RNA
Rfam family: Bacterial small subunit ribosomal RNA
Source: RNAcentral
GACGUAGGGCGCGAGCGUUGUCCGGAUUUAUUGGGCGUAAAGAGCUCGUAGGCGGCUUGUUACGUCGACUGUGAAAACCCGCGGCUCAACUGCGGGCCUGCAGUCGAUACGGGCAGGCUAGAGUUCGGUAGGGGGAGACUGGAAUUCCUGGUGUAGCGGUGAAAUGCGCAGAUAUCAGGAGGAACACCGGUGGCGAAGGCGGGGUCUCUGGGCCGAUACUGACGCUG